RNAcentral lists this long non-coding RNA (823 nucleotides) under Homo sapiens (human). Its description in RNAcentral is "uncharacterized LOC101930028, transcript variant 5 (LOC101930028)". Lineage: Eukaryota; Metazoa; Chordata; Mammalia; Primates; Hominidae. The record is from RNAcentral.
AGACACAGGGAGAGAGAGAAGAGGGAGGCACCAGGAUGCUUUCAGCAAUCAAUGUCAGGAAAACUGAUAGAGCAAGAAGUCACUCAUUGUCACAAGGACGGCACCAAGCCCUUUCUGAGGAAUCUGCCCCAUGACCCAAACACCUCCCACCAGGCCCUACCACCAACACAGGGGAUCACAGUUCAAUGUGCGAUUUGGAGGCAAAACAUAUACAAACUAUACUAGGAAGACAAACUGAUGUGAGGAUGAGGAGGAGUCAGAAAUAAACUCAUUCAACUAAUACUUGAGUAGCUACUGUUGCCUACAGUAUGUUCAAGGUUUUGCUAGUCAUCCAUAUGAUCACUAUUGACAGCUUGGGAGACUCACACAGGCUAGUGAAUUUCAGGAAUUAACAGAAACUGAACAGCUUCUAUAAUCCUGCAGGAAGUAACCUCUGGAUGGCACAAUGGAGUCUCACUCUGUUGCCCAGGCUGGAGUGCAAUGGCACAAUCUCAGCUCACCACAAGCUCCGCCUCCUGCGUUCAAGUGAUUCUCCUGCCUUAGCCUUCUGAGUAGCUGGUAUUACAGGUGCCUGCUACCAUGGCCAGCUAAGUUUUGUAUUUUUAGUAGAGACAGGGUUUCACCAUGUUGGCCAGGCUGUUCUCAAACUCCUGACCUCAAGUGAUCUGCCCGCCUAAGCCUCCCAAAGUGCUGGGAUUACAAGCAUGAGCCGCCGCACCCGGCCUCUGCUAAGUUUACAACCUGCAAAUUCUAUCCAAAAUAUAUACAUAUUUUCUUGUAUUUUUCAUUUAAUGCACCAAAAUAAAAAAAAAAUUGUUUUUCA